CCUAAAACCAAAACUUUUCAUUUUGAAAAUGUCAAAACAGGCCAUUUUGAUAUUUUCAAAACUUUUUCUUUCACAAUUUUUCAAAUUGGGAGAGUUAGCAAAAUUGAACCUGUCCCAUGAAUAGUAUCAGUUUUGUGAAAUCAGUAUUUUACAACAAAAAAAAGUUUUAUUGGAAAAUUUGGAAUGAGCUCUACUGUUAAUGCUUCUAAAGCAUAACAAUUCUAGUAAAAGAACUCUCAUUCAUUAUAGAAGGCCCCAACCUUCUUAUGACCCUAAAUAACACUGUCUAUGAAUCUUCUUGUCUAAACUGUCAGUGGUAAUCCCCAUGUCUAUCAUUAAAUAAGUGUGUGUUUCAGUAUUCCAAGAAUUAGUUGUGCAUUGUUCAGCCAGAUGGAUGCACAUUUUUUUCUUCCUCCACCUCCACACAUACCAUUCAAGUGCUGAGAGUGGUUUGGAAUGCUCUGUUGGUUCAAAACACCUAGUUAUUUUUCCUUCCAUUUGUGAUAUGUGGAAAGACUCAUUUAUUUUGUAUAUAGUAACUGAGGCUGGUCGGAAAAUGGUUUCAAUUUGUAAAAGCAGCUGCGAUGUUUCAUGAGAUUUGUAGUUCAGGUUCCUCAUGCUUCCUUUCUCCUUUAUAUACCAGGCUGCCUGAUCAUCUCCCACGAGGCACCACAUUUUGGUGUGGAGAGUCUUGGUGUGGAGAGGCAGUGCAUUGUGGGAGUAACAUGUCCAUGAUGCAUCAGAGGAGAUGAAGUUGGGCUGAGGAGUCAGGCACACAAAGGAGAAUGGAGACAUAAGGUUCUGACCAACUCUACACUGGAGGUGGGUUCUUUUCAGUGGCAGGUAACAUGAUUCCAGAAUACUGUUUGGUAAGGCCCUGUGGAAUACCUCAGGAUGAAAGUUAAAACAUAAAUACAGCAAAAUCCUGGCUAAGCUCACCAAGAGUGUGCCAGGAUAGAGGAAAGGUGGAGCAGUCAUCGAGCCAUUGACUCAAACCCCCUUGAGGCCAUGGGGUUGUGUGGAGGUAUAUCAGCCAGCCCCUUCCUAAAAUUCAAGAGUCUAUCCUCCUUCACUCCUGAACAGGGGAAGAGGGACAAAGAGGCUCCCUAGACCCUCCCAGCGCCAUCAUGCAAUGCAUUGCAUGGAUUUUACACACUAGCAAGAGUCAUUCAGCAGUAACACUCUAAAGAAGGACUGCUCAUGCACACUGUAGGACAAGUAUGCACGAUUUUCUGUAUUGGAUAGGGCCUGGGUGGCCAACCUGAGCCUGAGAAAGGGCCAGAAUUUACCAAUGUGCAUUGCCAAAGAGUCACAGUAAUAUAUAAUGAUUAUAUAUGUAUAUCUAUAUGUUUGUGUGUGUGUGUGUGUCUGUGUGUGUGUGUAUGGGACUUCUGGCAAUCUUUGCUUUCAACAAUUCCCUUGAAGUCUGGCUGUCUUAAGUGGCUGUCUCUCAGAACAGAUCGGUGCUUGGAUUUCACAUGUUUGAUUGUCGAGACAAACUUACAAAGAUAGGUCAAGUCAAACAUUGAGAUUAAUUUUAGAGCUGCACCUCUGAUGUUGGGGUAUUUAUCCUUUAAUACAGGUUUUCAGAAAGUAAGGGUCUCCCUGUGUCUUCUGACCAGAUUUCAAACAAGCUUCUGUACUCCUCCCCAAUGAGGGCAGUAGUGCUGAAAUUGACAUUGCUGGUUCGAAUUAGGGUUAGUGUGGACACAAUUCAAUGUUAUUGGCCUCCGGGAGCUAUCACACAGUGAACCA
Long non-coding RNA from Mauremys mutica (yellowpond turtle), 1755 nucleotides. RefSeq lists it as uncharacterized. Lineage: Eukaryota; Metazoa; Chordata; Testudines; Geoemydidae. The record is from RefSeq and is a predicted model, not a curated record. The transcript is spliced from 3 exons.